CCUACGGGAGGCAGCAGUAGGGAAUCUUCCACAAUGGACGAAAGUCUGAUGGAGCAACGCCGCGUGAGUGAAGAAGGGUUUCGGCUCGUAAAGCUCUGUUGGUAGUGAAGAAAGAUAGAGGUAGUUACUUGCCUAUCUUCGACGGAAAUUACUUCGACAGCCACGGCUAACUACGUGCCAGCAGCCGCGGUAAUACGUAGGUGGCAAGCGUUGUCCGGAUUGAUUGGGGGUAAAGCGAGUGCAGGCGGCUCAAUAAGUCUGAUGUGAAUGCCUGGGGCACAACCGGAGAAUUGCAUCAGAAACUGUUGAACUUGAGUGCAGAAGAGGAGAGUGGAAUUCCAGGUGUAGCGGUGGAAUGCGUAGAUAUAUGGAAGAACACCAGUGGCGAAGGCGGCCCUCUGGUCUGCAACUGACGCUGAGGCGCGAAAGCGUGGGGAGCGAACAGGAUUAGAUACCCGAGUAGUC
This 465-nucleotide ribosomal RNA is filed under the name uncultured bacterium. Its description in RNAcentral is "partial 16S ribosomal RNA". It matches the Rfam family "Bacterial small subunit ribosomal RNA", at positions 338 to 795 of the family's 1533-position model. The record is from RNAcentral.